UACGUAGGGUGCAGGCGUUAAUCGGAAUUACUGGGCGUAAAGCGUGCGCAGGCGGUCUUUUAAGUCAGAUGUGAAAUCCCCGGGCUUAACCUGGGAACUGCGUUUGAAACUGCAUGGCUAGGAUGCGGAAGAGGGAAGCGGAAUUUGUAGUGUAGCAGUGAAAUGCGUAGAUAUUACAAGGAACACCAAUGGCGAAGGCAAUCCCCUGGGCCUGUACUGACGCUCAUGCACGAAAGCGUGGGGAGCAAACAGG
RNAcentral lists this ribosomal RNA (253 nucleotides) under uncultured bacterium. RNAcentral describes it as "partial 16S ribosomal RNA". It matches the Rfam family "Bacterial small subunit ribosomal RNA", at positions 524 to 776 of the family's 1533-position model. The record is from RNAcentral.